GAGCGAGCACGCAGCCACGUGGGGAGGGUCCGAGGGAUCUUUCUCUUGGCUUGCGGUCAUUUUUCACUACCAAUUUGUUGUAAUGAGACAGCCUUACUUCACUUGUAAAAUGAGAUGAUGGCUGCAAUCGAGAACUCAACCAGCGCUGUUCCCAUUAAAUGGGAAUACUAUUAUGAUUAUCUUGACCCUGUAAUUGUGGAUGAGAGCAAGCUAAAAUACAAUAAAUAUUCAAUUGUUAUAAUACUUUGGAUCUUAAUGGCUGCCUUUAUGGGAUUGCUCUUUCUCAUUUUGAAUCUAAUAUCUCGCAGAGGAAACUUGCCUAGGACUCACAGAUCCAAACGAGAGGUCACGACAUUGACUGAAGCUGAAUGAGAUGUGAAGAAAAAGGUUAAAAAUCAAGGUGAUGGACCCAAUUCAAAAUCCAAAUGAUAGAGAUGCAAUGAAUGAAAGUUUGGAUUAGAGGUUUUGAGACCAUGUGUAAAAAAAACUAAGAUUCUGUUUUCUUAGCAAUUCAUUAAAUACCUACAAAGUGCAAAGCUACCAUUUUUCACAAGAAUUAUGUAACUUUUAUCCUGUCCUUUAACCUGCAUUGUGUGUACAUGUGCCCCUGCCCUAGAUGUUAAGUACAAGGAGAGCACAGGUAUUUUUCUGUGCUUUGUCAAGAAGGCAGUGUUACUGCAUUGAAUCCAAUUUC
Molecule: long non-coding RNA, 694 nt
Organism: Etheostoma cragini (Arkansas darter)
Lineage: Eukaryota; Metazoa; Chordata; Actinopteri; Perciformes; Percidae
Exons: 3
Source: RefSeq, a predicted model, not a curated record